Molecule: non-coding RNA, 423 nt
Organism: Ictidomys tridecemlineatus (thirteen-lined ground squirrel)
Lineage: Eukaryota; Metazoa; Chordata; Mammalia; Rodentia; Sciuridae
Source: RefSeq, a predicted model, not a curated record
GGAUCCAGUUAUGACAUUGCCAAACGCAACUUCAUUUUUCCCUGUCUCGAGUCAGAAGCUUCCCUGCUGGUGCUUUCUCUGGAAAUUCAGCCUCCAUAUUGUGAAGAAGUAUAGACCACAUUGAAGGACCAUGGGGACACCCAAGAAUUGUUGGAGAAUGUUGGAGAUUGGCCAGGAAUCACUGUGGCAGGAUGGUGGCCAGGUGUUAAAAAUCCUAUCAUCCCAGGUGAUGGUCCUAAGAGGCAGGCCUUUCAGGAGGUGAACAGUUAAUGAGGAAAUCCUGAGUGAUUAAUGUAGACGGAUGGACUCUUCUGCUGUUUCACCAUCUGGAAGAUGCCUCCAAAAAUCUGUAACAGAAAGAAGCUUGGAAGUUCCCUUGGCGGGAAAUGAGACACAUCACUUCCAUUCAUUGUCCAUUAAGAA